CUAGAGUGGGGGACAACAGUUGGAAACGACUGCUAAUACCGCAUAAGCCCACGGUACCGCAUGGCACUGAGGGAAAAGGAUUUAUUCGCUUUAGGAUGGACUCGCGUCCAAUUAGCUAGUUGGUGAGGUAACGGCCCACCAAGGCGUCGAUUGGUAGCCGGACUGAGAGGUUGAACGGCCACAUUGGGACUGAGACACGGCCCAGACUCCUACGGGAGGCAGCAGUGGGGGAUAUUGCACAAUGGGGGAAACCCUGAUGCAGCGACGCCGCGUGGAGGAAGAAGGUUUUCGGAUUGUAAACUCCUGUCGUUAGGGACGAUAAUGACGGUACCUAACAAGAAAGCACCGGCUAACUACGUGCCAGCAGCCGCGGUAAAACGUAGGGUGCAAGCGUUGUCCGGAAUUACUGGGUGUAAAGGGAGCGCAGGCGGGAAGACAAGUUGGAAGUGAAAACCAUGGGCUCAACCCAUGAAUUGCUUUCAAAACUGUUUUUCUUGAGUAGUGCAGAGGUAGAUGGAAUUCCCGGUGUAGCGGUGGAAUGCGUAGAUAUCGGGAGGAACACCAGUGGCGAAGGCGGUCUACUGGGCACCAACUGACGCUGAGGCUCGAAAGCAUGGGUAGCAA
RNAcentral lists this ribosomal RNA (624 nucleotides) under uncultured bacterium. Its description in RNAcentral is "bacterial SSU rRNA". It matches the Rfam family "Bacterial small subunit ribosomal RNA", at positions 131 to 771 of the family's 1533-position model. The record is from RNAcentral.